GGGAAUGUGGCUUAGUGGUAGAGUACUUGCCUAGUAUGCAUGAAGUCCUGGGGGUUCGAUUCCUCAGUACCA
RNAcentral lists this transfer RNA (72 nucleotides) under Dipodomys ordii (Ord's kangaroo rat). It matches the Rfam family "tRNA". From Rfam's summary of the family: Transfer RNA (tRNA) molecules are approximately 80 nucleotides in length. Their secondary structure includes four short double-helical elements and three loops (D, anti-codon, and T loops). The record is from Rfam by way of RNAcentral. Lineage: Eukaryota; Metazoa; Chordata; Mammalia; Rodentia; Heteromyidae.